Molecule: ribosomal RNA, 256 nt
Filed under: uncultured bacterium
Lineage: Bacteria
Description: partial 16S ribosomal RNA
Rfam family: Bacterial small subunit ribosomal RNA
Source: RNAcentral
UACGUAGGUGGCAAGCGUUGUCCGGAUUUAUUGGGUUUAAAGGGUGCGUAGGCGGUCUUAUAAGUCAGUGCUGAAAUAUCCCGGCUUAACCGGGAGGGUGGCAUUGAUACUGUAGGACUUGAGUAGAGUUGAGGUUGGCGGAAUUGACGGUGUAGCGGUGAAAUGCUUAGAUAUCGUCAAGAACACCGAUAGUGAAGACAGCUAACUAAGCUCUAACUGACGCUGAGGCACGAAAAGUGUGGGGGAUCAAACAGGG